UAGACACAGAGCAGGAGAGAGGUUAGCAUUCCUGCUGCUCAGGAUGGAAAGCCUCCUAAUGGCCUCACACCACACACAUGGUUCAGGCAUUGCCACCUACACAGGGCCAUCUAACCAGGCUUGUGG
This is a small nuclear RNA of Chiloscyllium plagiosum (whitespotted bambooshark), 126 nucleotides long. The record is from RefSeq and is a predicted model, not a curated record. NCBI's taxonomy places the organism in Eukaryota, Metazoa, Chordata, Chondrichthyes, Orectolobiformes, Hemiscylliidae.